This 473-nucleotide ribosomal RNA is filed under the name uncultured bacterium. Its description in RNAcentral is "bacterial SSU rRNA". It matches the Rfam family "Bacterial small subunit ribosomal RNA", at positions 8 to 526 of the family's 1533-position model. The record is from RNAcentral.
AGGGUUUGAUUAUGGCUCAGAACGUACGCUGGCGGCACGCCUAACACAUGCAAGUCGAACGAAGUAGCAAUACUUAGUGGCAGACGGGUGAGUAACAUGUAGGUAUCUGCCCUUUGGCCUGGAAUAACACGAGGAAACUUGUGCUAAUACCGGAUAAGUCUUAACGGAGAAAGCUUUAUGCACCAUUGGAUGAGCCUGCACUUGAUUAGUUUGUUGGUGGGGUAAUGGCCUACCAAGACUGUGAUCAAUAGCUGAUUUGAGAGGAUGAUCAGCCACAUUGGGACUGAGACACGGCCCAAACUCCUACGGGAGGCAGCAGUGGGGAAUCUUGCACAAUGGAGGAAACUCUGAUGCAGCGAUGCCGCGUGAGUGAAGAAGGCCCUUGGGUUGUAAAGCUCUUUCGUCGGGGAAGAAAAUGACUGUACCCGAAUAAGAAGGUCCGGCUAACUUCGUGCCAGCCGCCGCGGUAAUAC